This 497-nucleotide ribosomal RNA is filed under the name uncultured soil bacterium. Its description in RNAcentral is "bacterial SSU rRNA". It matches the Rfam family "Bacterial small subunit ribosomal RNA", at positions 97 to 633 of the family's 1533-position model. The record is from RNAcentral.
GGCGAACGGGUGAGUAACGCGUGGGUGAUCUGCCUCCGAGUGGGGAAUAACAGCGGGAAACUGCUGCUAAUACCGCAUGACAUCCUGUCGCCAAAGCCGCGCUUGGAGAUGAGCCCGCGUCCGAUUAGCUCGUUGGCGGGGUAACGGCCCACCAAAGCGACGAUCGGUAGCCGGCCUGAGAGGGCGGACGGCCACACUGGGACUGAGACACGGCCCAGACUCCUACGGGAGGCAGCAGUGGGGAAUUUUUCGCAAUGGGGGAAACCCUGACGAAGCAACGCCGCGUGGAGGAUGAAGGCCUUCGGGUCGUAAACUCCUGUCGACCGGGAAGAAUGACUGUACCGGUGGAGGAAGCCACGGCUAACUCUGUGCCAGCAGCCGCGGUAAUACAGAGGUGGCAAGCGUUGUUCGGAAUUACUGGGCGUAAAGGGCGCGUAGGCGGACCGCCAAGUCCCGUGUGAAAGCCCCCGGCUCAAACGGGGAACGGCGCGGGAAAC